RNAcentral lists this ribosomal RNA (257 nucleotides) under uncultured bacterium. RNAcentral describes it as "partial 16S ribosomal RNA". It matches the Rfam family "Bacterial small subunit ribosomal RNA", at positions 524 to 777 of the family's 1533-position model. The record is from RNAcentral.
UACGGAGGGUGCGAGCGUUGUCCGGAAUCAUUGGGCGUAAAGGGCGCGUAGGUGGCCCGGUCAGUUCGUGGUGAAAGCGCGGGGCUCAACCCUGCGUCGGCCAUGAAUACUGCCGCGGCUGGAGCACUGUAGAGGCAGGCGGAAUUCCGGGUGUAGCGGUGGAAUGGCGUAGAGAUCCGGAAGAACACCGGUGGCGAAGGCGGCCUGCUGGGCAGUUGCUGGACACUGAGGCGCGACAGCGUGGGGAGCAAACAGGG